AAGCAUCGUCAAACUGUCAUGCAUAAAACAUUAACAUUAACGAAAACAAUUUGUGAAUGCGACCUAUGGAGAAUUCCUCGACCCACGUCCUCGUUUUGUCCAAUGGAGAAAUCACAGAAUGUUCUAAGAAUUUUUUAACUUUCUAUCGACAUUAAAAAUGCAUCUGAUUUUGGCGUGCGUGUGUGUGUGUGUCUGUGUGUAGAUUAUGUGGGAAUAUUAACGAAAGCAAUUUCUAAUGUGAUUUAUAGCGAAUUUCUGAAUCUACGCUCAAUUACUUGAGGAAUAAAAGAGGAGAAAAGGGCACAAAAGAUAAAAUGUUCGCGAUAUUAAGCGAUCCGAGGAUUAAGGUAAUCCUCUUCGAGGAAUUUCUUGCUAUUUUAUUAACAUCAAAGAUCAUUUUCGUCAUGUACGGAUUAUUUAUUGCUGUAAAUAAUUUAUUAUUAAAUGCUUGUCAAAUAGUAAUGAUAAAUAUAAAUAAUAGUAGUAAUAAGUAUCAGUAAUAAGUAAUAAACAAAAGUAAUUCGCGACACAAUUUAUAGAACAUUUCGAAAUCUACUUGUUUCGUGAAAGAAUAAAAUUUAAAAAAUCGAAAUAUGAAGUAGUUUGAAAAUUUCGAUAGCUGUAGAAAUUCCAUACAAAAACAGUUUCACGAAACGUAGAUAAACAAAGAUAAACAGGGGCAGAUCAAGAUGAAUCGUAAAAAAAGGGGUUCGUGUUCUGUAUCAGACUAUGAUAUUUUCGCCGAGAAUGGAUUUCUUCUGAAAGUCUGGACAGACGCAUCGCAACCGUCGUACAUCAUCUAAAAUUGCGAUCAUAGCAUCGUAUCCGGUGAUGCAAUCGCGAUUUUUCCGUUGUAUCGUGUUGUUGAUGGUGACAAAAAGCACAGACUGCGGUGAAAUUAAUCGACAGAGGAUAUUAGCGAGCAGAGUAUCUGAUACGUAAUGAUUUAAUGACAAAAAGAUUUCUCAUUCUCGGCGUAUCUUUCUAGAUAACAAAUUCGUCCAUGGAUAUACUAUUAGGUCGUCCGAAAAGUUUCUUUCGUUUUAUAAGCAAAUAAUGGUUGCACAACAUUUUCCGUUUUAUAUUAUUUUAUCGAAUUACGUAUGAUGCAUCUUGUUCUAUCAAGAUGAAGAUCACAACGUUUGACAAGUUAGGCUUCAUGUUUGCAUAAAAAUGCAUGUGUAAAAGAAAGACACUUUUCGGACAAAAAGUUCAGCACAUAUUUUGGAAAAGAUGAAGGCAAAAGAAUUGCUGCUUCAGAGUUCCAAUAACUGUGAGCGAUUAGAAAGAAGAUACGAUAAAGUUGGAUAUAAAAUCUUUAAUUAAAUAAUACACAUAAAAUAAUACCUAUAGUGCGAAUUUUUAUGCAUUUGUGAGAAUUUGUAAAAUAUCAAAAAGCACAUAAUACGUAAAGAUAUAUAAAAUAUCUAAGACAUAGUAUUAGUUAUAAUAUUUAAUAAACAAAACAAAUAUCUCCACGAAUGCUUACAAUUUAAUAAUGUUUAAACGCUAGAAAAUGCUUGUAUGUCAAAGAAAUUCAAAAUCGAAGGUAUAUGAAAGAAUGCAUUAUACAAGAGAAAAAUAAUCAUUUUCAAAUACGCUAAAACGCAUCGUUACAGAUCUAUAGAAAAUCUCUCGAAAAACUGACAAAUUAUUCGCUUUGAUCGCUUUGGUAAUUCCACACUUUAUAAAUCCCAUUACGUCAUUCGUUAAAAAGGAUCAGAUAUUACGCAAUAAAAUUUCAAAAGCCAAAAUCAAAGUCGACUCUUAUUUUAAUUAAAAUUCCAAUCAAUGGAGAGCAGAUUACGUUUCUCUACCCUCGGAUGUAUCAAGUGUGGUGGCACGCAAAAAUCCGAUACCGUCUCAUCGGUUCAGGCCAAUUAACCUAAGAAGAAGCGGUCCGAAUCCUGGUCUUCGCGGUUUCGUCCAUUGGCGCGGGAGAUGUCGAAGGACGCAUGGAGGUGGAGGAAUAGACAAGGUUGAAACGAAAGGUAGAAAAAGCGGGUGUUCGUGGAUCGCAAGGGUGCGGUUGCCUAGCUACUACGUGACGUCAUCUGUGACGCAGUCGAACAAGAGGAAACAUCCGCAUCGGAGUGACAAGGAUGUGCGAUAGAGAGCGAGGUCACAGCGUCAUCAUCCACUGGGAUCCACUGAGAAGGUGGAUUGACCAGAUUAAACGUAUCUUUUCUUCGAGUUCGCACCGAGACCUUUUCUACUCACGGGGCUAAUUUCAUCUACGCCGGAAAGGGUUGACAGAAAUGUAAAACACAUCGACCAGAAAAUACGCCAUUUCCGGUAUGCGCUUAGAUUAUUUCCGCUACCGGAUACCAGCGUUUGGUAUUGCGUUUUGGCCCAUUGGUAUAGCACGCGUAAACGUCUGAUCGUAGUAGCGUGGAACGACCUACGGUUUGACACGAGAAACGUUGGAGCGAUUCUAUGUUCUACUAUUAUUUCAUUCUCGCUUAUUGCAUAAAAUUGGUGUUUCUAUUAACUACAAUAAAUAUUUUAAUACAUUAAAA
Bombus terrestris (buff-tailed bumblebee) is the source of this 2519-nucleotide long non-coding RNA. RefSeq lists it as uncharacterized. Lineage: Eukaryota; Metazoa; Arthropoda; Insecta; Hymenoptera; Apidae. The record is from RefSeq and is a predicted model, not a curated record. The transcript is spliced from 2 exons.